RNAcentral lists this ribosomal RNA (599 nucleotides) under bacterium enrichment culture clone F61x_D79_T3_G10. Its description in RNAcentral is "bacterial SSU rRNA". It matches the Rfam family "Bacterial small subunit ribosomal RNA", at positions 21 to 617 of the family's 1533-position model. The record is from RNAcentral.
GGCUCAGAUUGAACGCUGGCGGCAUGCCUUACACAUGCAAGUCGAACGGCAGCGCGGGGCAACCUGGCGGCGAGUGGCGAACGGGUGAGUAAUAUAUCGGAACGUGCCCUGGAGUGGGGGAUAACGCAGCGAAAGUUGCGCUAAUACCGCAUACGAUCUAAGGAUGAAAGCAGGGGACCGCAAGGCCUUGUGCUCCUGGAGCGGCCGAUAUCUGAUUAGCUAGUUGGUGGGGUAAAGGCCUACCAAGGCAUCGAUCAGUAGCUGGUCUGAGAGGACGACCAGCCACACUGGAACUGAGACACGGUCCAGACUCCUACGGGAGGCAGCAGUGGGGAAUUUUGGACAAUGGGCGCAAGCCUGAUCCAGCAAUGCCGCGUGAGUGAAGAAGGCCUUCGGGUUGUAAAGCUCUUUUGUCAGGGAAGAAACGGUAUGGGCUAAUAUCCCGUACUAAUGACGGUACCUGAAGAAUAAGCACCGGCUAACUACGUGCCAGCAGCCGCGGUAAUACGUAGGGUGCAAGCGUUAAUCGGAAUUACUGGGCGUAAAGCGUGCGCAGGCGGUUUUGUAAGUCUGUCGUGAAAUCCCCGGGCUCAACCUGG